Molecule: long non-coding RNA, 2559 nt
Organism: Tripterygium wilfordii
Lineage: Eukaryota; Viridiplantae; Streptophyta; Magnoliopsida; Celastrales; Celastraceae
Exons: 8
Source: RefSeq, a predicted model, not a curated record
AAUAUAGGACGUUUUAGCCCCUUUUUUCUCCUCGUUGUUUUAUGAGGAGUUGCAGAUGUGGAUGCUUUCUUUCGAUCUGGACUAUGAAGAAUUUUCAAACAGGUAUUGGCUGAUGAUUAAAUGAAAAUAAUGAGACAAUGAUAUAUCAUAAUUAAACAAGGCCUAGAUGUCUAAUCUUCCAAGAGGCAGAAAAAAAGGAUUAGCAACAUUUCUCUGGUACCAGGCUGGCUCUCAACUUCACUGAGACACCUUCAAACCUCUUUUGAGCGAUAAAACUACUUCUUAUGGUGCUUGGCAAAGGAUGGUUGACGUAGUGAAGGUUCUAUAUUGAUUCCUUUCAAGCCUUAUAAAAGAUAAUAAAUUUCUUGUUGGCCAAUUGGCGGUGAAAUAGCAUUUAAUUUGAACUUGAUUUUUGUAUUUUAAGUUACCACAUAUCUAUAUUUGUGGUUUUACUUAUACGUUAUCGGUUACAUAACAUGAAUGAUUAUGUGUGUACACUAGAGUGGUGUCAUCUUUCAAGAACAAGUGUGCAGAGAAUUAGCAUUAUUUAUACGCAGAUUAGUAAAAUUUGUAAUUUUUGUCACAUGUCGAAACUUGCACAUUAUUGUAUGUGUAUGCUUAUCUUAUUCUGAAUCUGAAUUCUAUUACUUCGUACCAGAGAUGUAGGCUACUGAAUUUGAGCCAAGAUGUGAAUGUGCUUUUUAACCUGUUUUGACCAUGUUUUGUGUGCCUUAUCUGUAGCAUUCAUGUACUGAUUGUGCAAAACCUUCACCCUACUGAUCUCUCCUGUUGAAACAGCCAAAGAUAGAUGUGGGACAUCCCACUUGGUUGCAUCUCCGGAUAAGAGCGUUUAAUACAAUGUUUGGAUGCAAGCAAUAAAGGUUUCUGCUAAAACAUGUCCGAUAACACUUUAGAUGGGAGAUGGACACUUGGGUUUUUAAAUGCAAAAGUUUGUGAAGCUGCUGGAUUACUGAUACUCGAGGAAACUAGUAAGCAAAGAUCCUCAACUGCGAGGAUCCUUGCUCCACUAGUUCUGAGUAGCCAUACCAAAGACUUGUCAGAUGGUCAAGAUGAUUAAAGACCUAUUGCAAGUGGAGAGGACUAUUUGCAUUUUUGUCCUAUGACAAUCACUGCCUGCUGCUAGCAUCUCUUUUGUUACUACUUAUUUUAGCAGAAAGUAAAGGAUUCAUAUGAACAGUCCCUUGGAUGGAUGAUGGUUUGAUCAUAUCUUCGAUACUUUGAAAAUGAAUGGACAAGAUGUAGAACAGGUAUGGAUUUCAAUUUUGUUGAAGCAGCUGAUGAUUGUAUUGAAGAUGGUGGUGGUACUUGAGCAGCUUCUUUUUAUACCCCAUCACAAAGAGAAGAAAAAUGAAACCACAGUAAGUUUUGUUGGAUACAACAGGUGGCACAAUUUCAUAUGCCGCUUGGUUCAUAUAUCUUUUAUGUUGUGUACAGCUCUCGAGGAGCCAUCCCAAUCCAAUGAUCCUCUUUUUGUUCUAGAAAUUGCUCUGUCAACAAACUACUAAUGGUAUAAGAAGUAUGCUUAUCUUAUUCUGAAUCUGAAAUUCUGUUACUUCGUACCAGAGAGAGAUGUAGGCUACUGAAUUUGAGCCAAGAUGUGAAUGUACUUUUUUAACUGUUUUGAUUAUGUUUUGUGUGCCUGAUCUGUAGCAUUCAUGUACUGAUUGUGCAAAACCUUCACCCUACCGAUCUCUCUGUUGAAACAGCCAAAGAUAGAUGAGGGACAUCCCACUUGGUUGCAUUUCCGGAUAAGAGAGUUUAAUACAAUGUUUGAUGCAAGCAGUAAAGGCUUCUGCUAAAACAUGUCCGAUAACACUUUAGAUGGGAGAUGGACACUUGGGUUUUUAAAUGCAAAAGCUUGUGAAGCUGCUGGAUUACUGAUACUCGAGGAGCAAAGAUCCUCAACUGCAAGGAUGCUUGCUCCACUAUUUCUGAGUAGCCAUACCAAAGACUUUUCAGAUGGUCAAGAUGAUUAAAGACCUAUUGCAAGUGUUGGUUGCUGAGGUGACUGAGGCCAAGAAACUUCUGCUACUGCCAGUCAGACUACUUGAGAUGAUAUAUUAAACAGAAUAUUGGAAGUGCUCAUGUCAAAAGGUAUCAGGGCUAUAUUAGGGUCGAACCAUUUUACCUCCCAGAUUAACAGUUUCUUAGACAAUUCUUGAUGCUUGAAAAACAAAACUUGUGGUUGGUUCUUGUAACAAUUGUGACCCUUAGGCAGUGCUGCAAGACAUGGCUUGCUUGUAGGGGCAUCUUUUUAGGAAAUGUUGACCCCAUUCUUAGGUUGCUUAUAUGAGCGCAGAACAGGUUUAGCUAGAACAAAGGGAAGAUCGAUGGGAGGGAAAAGGAUAUGGUAGAUGGCACUGUGGAGCUAGGCCACAGCAAUGAUUAUGCUAGCUAGAAGGCAACGAUGAGUUCUACUGGAAUGAUACACGGAGAGGUAUCUCUUGUCAUAAUUUGACCUUUUUAUAUGGUUGUUGACAAUCUGAAAUUCAGGUUUGAGAAGUAUAUCCAGAAAAAAGGUCAAUCAUUGUUGCGAAG